Molecule: transfer RNA, 64 nt
Filed under: Camelus bactrianus (Bactrian camel)
Lineage: Eukaryota; Metazoa; Chordata; Mammalia; Artiodactyla; Camelidae
Also listed under: 2 other names
Source: Rfam by way of RNAcentral
GAGGGUAUAGCUCAGUGGUAGAGCAUGUGCUUAGGUCCUGGUUUCAAAACCUCCAGUGCCUUCA